This 383-nucleotide non-coding RNA is filed under the name Triticum aestivum (bread wheat). RNAcentral's name for it is "Bacterial large subunit ribosomal RNA". It matches the Rfam family "Bacterial large subunit ribosomal RNA", at positions 2090 to 2472 of the family's 2925-position model. The record is from Rfam by way of RNAcentral. Lineage: Eukaryota; Viridiplantae; Streptophyta; Magnoliopsida; Poales; Poaceae. RNAcentral also lists the same sequence under 1 other name.
CCUAUGAAGCUUUACUAUUCCCUAGAUUGGCUUUGGGCCUUUCCUGCGCAGCUUAGGUGGAAGGCGAAGAAGGCCCCCUUCCGGGGGUGGCGAGCCAUCAGUGAGAUACCACUCUAGAAGAGCUCGGAUUCUAACCUUGUGUCAGACCCGUGGGCCAAGGGACAGUCUCAGGUAGACAGUUUCUGUGGGGCGUAGGCCUCCCAAAAGGUAACGGAGGCGUGCGAAGGUUUCCUCGGGUCAGACGGACAUUGGUCCUUGAGUGCAAAGGCAUAAGGGAGCUUGACUGCAAGACUCACCCGUUGAGCAGAGACGAAAGCCGGCCUUAGUGAUCCGACAGUGCCGAGUGGAAGGGUCGUCGCUCAACGGAUAAAAGUUACUCUAGG